Non-coding RNA from Tulasnella sp. 419, 72 nucleotides. NCBI's taxonomy places the organism in Eukaryota, Fungi, Basidiomycota, Agaricomycetes, Cantharellales, Tulasnellaceae. The record is from the annotation of a GenBank genome assembly.
GCGAGUAUAGUUAAAUGGUUAUAACAACUACCUUCCACGUAGUUAUUAUCAGUUCGAGUCCGAUUAUUCGUA